This 1608-nucleotide ribosomal RNA is filed under the name Triticum aestivum (bread wheat). RNAcentral describes it as "partial small subunit ribosomal RNA". Lineage: Eukaryota; Viridiplantae; Streptophyta; Magnoliopsida; Poales; Poaceae. The record is from RNAcentral.
AUGGUGAUCUCACUGCUCCACACGCAGUGGCACAUGCUCGCCCAGCUGCCCCUGCAAUGGCAGCUCCUCCUCCUUCUCGCCGGCCUCCUCCUCCCCGUGGUCUCCUACCUGCUGCUCAUAACGAGGGGCGACGUUGAGGGAGGACGGCUGAGGCUGCCGCCCGGCCCUGCGCGGGUGCCGGUGCUCGGCAACCUGCACCAGCUGGGCCCGCUGCCGCACCGCAGCCUGCGCGACCUAGCCCGGCGGCACGGCCCCGUCAUGCUGCUCCGCCUCGGCACGGUGCCGACGCUGGUGGUCUCGUCUGCCGCUGCGGCGCGAGACGUGAUGAAGGCCCACGACGCCGACUGCUGCAGCCGGUUCGCGUCCCCGGGCCCCGCGCGGCUCUCCUACGGCGGCAAGAGCAUCGCCUCCUCGCCCUACGGCCCCUACUGGCAGGACAUGCGCAGGCUCUUCGUCGCCGAGCUCUUCGGCCCGCGGGGCGUCCGCGCCGUAUGGGACGCGCGUCGGCAGCAGGUUGACAGGCUCAUGGCCACCCUCGGCGCGGCCGUGGCGGCAGCGACGGCGGCUCCGGUGGCGAUGGACCAGCACGUCUUCCGCGUCGCCGACGGCAUCAUCGGCACCGUGGCGUACGGGCGCAUCUACGCCGCGGAGGCGUUCGCGCGCAAGUACGAGCAGUUCCAGCACGUGCUCGAGGAGGCCAUGGCCAUGUCGGCCAGCUUCUCGGCCGAAGACUUCUUUCCCAACGCCGCCGGCCGCCUCGUCGACCGGCUCUCCGGCAUUAUCGCGCGGCGAGAGAGAAUCUUUAGGGACCUCGACGCCUUCUUCGAGGCGGUGCUGGAGCAGCACCUGGACCCCGCGCACCCCAAGCCAGAGAGCGGCGACGGCGACCUGGUAGACGCCUUCAUCAGCGCCUGUGAGGAGCACGGCUUCACGAGGGACCACGUGAAGGCCAUGCUCCUGGACGCGUUCCUCGGCGGCGUCGACGGCAGCUCUAUCACCAUCGUGUGGGCGAUGUCGGAGCUGAUCCAUAACCCGACGGCGCUGAAGAAGGCACAAGAUGAGAUCAGGGCCGCGGUGGCCGCCAGCGAUGUCUCGCCGCCGGGGUUGCCAGUCCAGCCAGACGACCUGCCCAAGCUAACCUACCUGAAGAUGGUCCUCAAAGAGACCAUGCGGCUGCACCCGCCGGCGACUCUGCUGCUGCCACGGGAGACGCUGCGGCAGGUGGAGAUCGGCGGCUACGACGUGCCGGCGAGGACGCGCGUGCUGGUGAACGUGUGGGCCAUCGGAAGGGACCCGGCAAGCUGGGGGCAAGACGCGGACGAGUUCAAGCCGGAGAGGUUCGAGACGGACGGGAGGCACGGCAAGGUGGACUUGCGCGGCGCGCACUUCGAACUGGUGCCGUUCGGCUCGGGCCGGCGGGUCUGCCCCGGGCUGGCCAUGGGGGUGACGACCGUGGAGUUCACGCUGGCCAACAUGCUGUGCGGCUUCGACUGGACGCUGCCGGAGGGGACGGCGGCGGAGGAAAUGAGCAUGGAGGAGGCCGGCAAGCUAACCUUCCACCGCAAGACGCCGCUGGUGCUCCUGCCCACGCCGUACCACUGUAAUUAG